GUCGCUUUGCCGGAGUGGUUAACGGGAUCGCCUGCUAUAGAACUUGACUAAUACAGUCUUGUUUACGUAAGCGGUUGUGCUUGCACGCUAGAGUUCGAAUCUCUAAGGCGACG
RNAcentral lists this transfer RNA (113 nucleotides) under Auriscalpium vulgare. RNAcentral describes it as "tRNA-Ser". Lineage: Eukaryota; Fungi; Basidiomycota; Agaricomycetes; Russulales; Auriscalpiaceae. The record is from RNAcentral.